Molecule: long non-coding RNA, 133 nt
Organism: Mizuhopecten yessoensis (Yesso scallop)
Lineage: Eukaryota; Metazoa; Mollusca; Bivalvia; Pectinida; Pectinidae
Exons: 3
Source: RefSeq, a predicted model, not a curated record
CUUAUCGCUGAUAGCCACCAGAGGCUCCGAAUUGGCACGUCCUUUAUACAGUGAACAUGGUAUAAUUACUGGUAAUGACGAUGAACAAUGGGGAACACAAAAACAAAGGAUGAGAAAGAAAACACACCGAAAA